GUCAAAGAUGGCCGCCUACAUGGACGAUGCACGGUGUUCAUGUACACGUACGUCAUUCAUCGACAUUGUUACUUUGUAAAUAGGGUCUUUCCCGGAAAUUUUCCUGGAUUCCCAAAUCGUUUGCUAUCUGAGUGUGUCAAAAAACCAAACUGAAUAAUUUUAUGCGGUGAACUUAGUGUCCCUAGGCUCUUGGCCUGCGUUGUACAGUCCUGACAUUGUGUUCUUCCAUGCAUUGACAGUGUCGGUGUAUUUUGUAGGGCUAAGUCGUCCGUGUGCGUGCAUCUCUUCAGGUGGGAUUAAUUUGAUAUCACUUUUAUCAGCUGCUGGUACCUGCUGGUCUCCUGGUAUGAACAGUUUGUACACGUUUGAAGCAGAUGAUAAGAUUUUGUUUUGAUCUUCGGGUCAAAAAAGGAAAUAGAACAUAGGAUACUUAAACCGAGGAAUUCCAGCCGAGACAUUGCUCAUGGCAGAAGGUGGUGGUGGGGAUGGGGACUCCCCAAUGGAUGGUCAUGACGAAGUGGACGAUGGUGCCCGGCGCUUCCGGACCCAACACAGUUACCACGAGGUUAGCGAGCAGGCCACCGUCCUGCUGCGCCACUUCAUCGUGGACCGCUUCGAGCGGGACUCGGUGCCGGGCGCACCCCGCCUGGAGGACCUGGGCCAGGCCACACCCGAACAGGAGGAGGUGUGGCGGCGGGUAGGCACCACCCUGCGAGAGAUCGGGGACAUCCUGGACCAGGACCGGGAACUCCAGAGGUGGAUCAACUCAUUACCCACUGAUUCCCCAAUAGAGAAGAUCAUCGCUGUCGCGCAGGUGAUAUUCGGGGACGGUGAGAUCCACUGGGGUCGCAUCAUCGGCCUGUUCUACUUUGCCUACCGCAUAUCAGUCAGGGCCAUGGAGAGCCUUCUCUUACAAAAUUUCCCUGGCUGGGUCAACCAGCUCAUCAAGGAGAUAGUCCAGUUCCUGGUCAGACGGUUUGCUGAUUGGAUCAUCAACAGGGGAGGCUGGACUGCCAUCAAGGAGUACUUUGGAUCAUCGAAUAGGGUGUUCCGGACAAUCAUGAUUUUGUCGCUCCUCACACUAGGCUACGGCAUCUACAAACUGAACAAGGAAUAGCAGUGCCUGGCCAAAAUCUACAUCGGAAAAAAUUGUGUCCAUCUGUUGCCAGGACACAGCAAGGCCGGCAUCGGACAUUAAGAAUUUGAAUGCUGCAACGUCAUUCCUGAACUGAACUAUGAUACCUUAAACUGUGGUCCUUUGUACAGCCGUUUCAUGCCACAGAAAGGCUGGCUAUAAUGUAUGUACAUGUACAUGUAUGUCACUGAGACUUUCCCCAGUAGAAGGAAAACAAUCAAUGGAACCAAUUUCACUUCAGUUCCAUCUGAGUCAAUCGCACAUGUGACCCGCUCCGGGAAAAAUGAUAAAAAAUGAUGCUUUGCCUUUGUGUGCAUUGGUCCACUCUGACUUAGGGCAGUUUCUCAUGAAAUUUCAAUUUUGUUGGUCAGAAAGAACAUAUUUAAUAGUCUCUAAAGUUUCAUGUUUCAUGAAAAAAAAAAUGUCCAAAGUGCACAUGUUCAUUGCCAGGAAGAUUUCAGGUGAGCCUUCCAAGCCAAAGUCUGUAUUAGAAUCAACUUUUUUUUCAAAGCCUGUUUUCUAUUAAGUUGAACUCCAUAGAACUGCUAUGAGAAAACGUCUGCUGAAUGGAAUGGGCUAUUACCCUGUGCCAUAGACCAAAUGAAAGCUGACACUUUCAUCCGUGCAUAUACGUCUUUUUUUUUUCAUUUUUGCAACAUUAUCUACCUUCUUUUCAGAGCGUGUCACAUGUGGCCGAUUCCGAUGCUUUCACACCCUGUCGCAGUGAUGCCUGUAAAGUUGUUGUUUUUUUUUCUCGUACUCUGAAACCAAGCAUGACGGGUUUGGAGACUUGUCAAGGCCAAAAUGACUCCCACUCCUCCCAUAUCAAUCAAAAUCCAACUAUUUCAAUUUUUCAUCUGAUUCUGAUAGAUUCACAACUGCACGGCACUGACCCUUCUACUUUUACAUUGGUCUCUGAUGCCCCCUCCAACAAAAAAUUCCAUAGGCUAACUGCACGAUAUUGGAUUUGGGUAGAUCGAGCUUAGCAGGUAACCCAAGACAUAUACCAGUAUUAAAGAAGGAAAAUAUUUGACAGUAUACAGUGUGUACAGCUCUGAAGUGACAUUUUUGAAACUGAAAUAUUAAUCAAUUGAACAAACAGAAUUCUUUUGUUAUUAAAAACCGUCUCCUAUUGCCUGUCAUGUGCAUUGUCUGUCUACAUGUACCCAAAAUGGGGCACGUAGUUUACUCAAAACUUGUAAUGAAAAUUUUACUUCACCGGUUGUGAGGUGAAAGGAUCUUGCAUGCCGUUUGGUUAUAUCCCGCAAAUCACAUAAUGGGGACAGGUAGCAGAGGUGUGAGAAUCAGUUUUUUAGCUGAUUUCAGCUUUUUUUUGCGUAGAUGACCCUGAAUGUCAGCUUUUUUGUACACCUGGUCUCUACAAAAGUAUGGGAACGUUUUACAUUUCAGCUGUUUGCUAGCUGCUUUCAGCCACUCACACCCCUGCAGUAGUUUGUUGGUAUCAUUCCACUGAUAAAGCUGCCCAUAGAGUAGGUUUUGGAGUGUCCAAUUAGUAGUGGAAAUUUGUAACAGGUGACGGUGACUCUUCAACAUGUUUUGUAUAGAUCCACUUUUUUUAGUACAUGUAGUUUGAAACUCAGUAAAAAAGAGAAGUGCUUUAUCAACAUAUCAGGUUGUCAUUUAAAGUGUGUUAUACACACUUGUUAUAUGGCCCCUUUGAGUAAGGCAAUUCUUGUGUGUAGGCACAUCUUACGAUUUGAGAUAUUUAGCCCCAAUAAAAAAAAAAAAGCUUGUAUGGACACGCACAACAUAAGGGAUAGUCGUGAGAUUAGUGUAAUGGUCUUCCACAUCAAGGAGAAAUUCCCCCCCCCAUAAAAGAACCCAGACUUUGCUGUGCUUCACCAUACGUUUGUGCAAUUCUGUAUACGUACAUAUAAACCUCCUGUAUUUCUACUUUGUUUUACUUGAAAAAGUCACGCAGAUUUUAUUAUCCCUAAGUCCAAAUCAACAGUCUUGCUAGAUAUGCAUGGAAUUAUGGAAUACGGAGAACGCCUUUGAAAUAUUCACAGCAGGUGCUUUCGCUGCACUUCUGAUUACCAGGAGGGCUGUAGGGCUCCCGCAAACGUGACCAAUACCACGUCAUUCACACUUUUGACCAGGUUUUCAAAAGGGAGUGGUACAGUGUACAUGUCCAGUAAUUGGAACCUGACCUUUUUUAAACAGAUCUUUCGGUAAUGGUAGACGGUAGAUACAUAUAUGUACUGUUUUAGUUUGUGAUGUGAUCAGUUAUAAGUAUUGUUAAAAAAAACCUGAAACUCGACUGCCGUUCAAAAAGCUUGUAGUGGAAAUCCAUGCAACAAAUUUCAAGACCCUCAGAGUUUUUAUUCUUGGAGAAAAAAACACUCCAAAACAAGGAAACUGGUGACGUUUUGCAUUGAUAUUGCUAGCAGUGUCCCUGUUAUCCCUGGCCUGUUUAAUUUGAUGUGGAAAUAUCAAUAAAACCGACUUCAGAUUUUUUUUAUUUGUUAAGCAGGUAAUGUUUUAUACUUAAUCACUCGUAGAAUUUUUUUUUAAAAUGUAUUUUAUACUUACAAGUACGAUGUAACAUGUGACAGGGACAAAAAAAAAUAUAUUGGACCGUAGUUUUUCUCCGUAACAUGACCCAGAUGUUUAUCCAGUUGUUGAAUGUUGCUCGGUGUCACGCCCUUUGGCAUUAAAGUCAACUCACAGAGCACUUUUGCAACAAAAGCUGAUCCUUGUCUUGAUCAAACAGCAAAUAUCGAGGGUUCUCACAUCUACCGUAUCAGGAAGUCUUGCAUGUCUGUUUUUGGGAUAGUCCUUGCAACGAAACCUCAUUUACUGUGCGUACAGACAUUCAUGUGAGGCUUAAUAUGGUGCCAAAAAUAGCCCUACAGCUUCAGGAUAACAAGUGGUUCAUAGACUAGACAGAAAUACAUGUAUAUGUUUAGAUUGGGUAGAAAACCAUAGUUUUCGUUACUGUCAACACAGUGUACGUGUCCCUUGAACCCUAGAACAUGGAGUGAAUUUAUGGAGUAUAGUUACCAGUACAUGUACUUGGCUGAUUUAUAUAUCAGCAAAGGAUGGCCUAGCAUAGAGAAACUCUGUGACAUACUUAUUAUGGAUAAUUGUUUGGACGAGGAUUUGGGGAUCUGUCUUUUUAAUACCCAAGUGUUUGCCUGUCACUCAAGGUGUACAUACUCCAGAAUUCUGAGAUGCCCCUCCCCUUUUUGGAACUGGGUGUCUUGUUCACUUUUCAGAAAUUUUCAAUCUACAUGCAGGUGCAGUGUUCUAGUCUUGGUGCGUAUUCUUUUUAUUAUUCAACAACGUGGGCGGUAGGAGGUUUGCUGGCCUGGUUUCCUUCCUCCAUGCUUUUAUCAAGUGUCUAAAUUGCUGACUGCAGUAUGGUGACACGCUCUACCGAACUCCGUGCAUGAUGGCACAUAGCUGUAGUGCCCGUAUAGUAUCUGUCCCGAUUUGAGGUGCACCGCCAAGUGGAAAGAGGAAGACAGAUGGUUGUAAGCUUUCCAAGCGGGUUCUGGCACGCGUUCUGCAUAUACGCAAAGACCAUACAUUAAGGAAUAAAUUCAUUGCGCGUACUCAGCAUCAAACGCGCCACUGAUCUCCACUAUUAAUGCGCCUAUGCGGCAAGUACCAAAAAUACAGCCCUUUUUGUUCCGCUUGGAGCAGAUAAGUUGGUUCCCUGAAUAAGGAGCCAUUACCGCUGUGGCACAGUGCUCGUGGACCGGUGAUAUGCACACAUUAUGCUUCUUCAACCAAUAGGAUGUCAUGAUUUGCCACAUGCAUGAAAGUGCGUGUCAGGUCUGUGUGCCUGCCACAGCGCCACCGCAGUAAUGGUGUCUCCUCGGAUGAGUCUUUAACGAUUUCCCAGUUACUCUGAUCUGGGGUCAGAGGUUGCCAAUAUACCCUUGUACUGUUUCAAGUUCACUUGAAUGUGACAAAAGUGAAUCUUUUUCAAAAAGGGCAGUCAUUGGGUAGAUCUGGGCCAGCUGUUAACAUCAUUGUGGUAUGCACUUCUCAAAUAAAUGUGGAAUUUAACCCACUUUUUUUUUCUUUUUAGGAAAUCAAUUGUGCUUUGACAUUUUAUUGUAGCACUGCAUUAUUAUGGAGUAGAAUUGAAGUUAAUUUCUCUUAUUGUUUUUUAAUCAUGUAGGGGUUGUGCUCUAAGUUCAGAAUCCAUUGAUGGCUAAAUCGGGUGAUUUAAUAUCAGGGAACGCCAUGUGCUACACUGCCCAGACCUGGUCUGCGCUGAGCUGCCGAGCGGGAAAAACAAUGCAUUGAGAAAUCGCAUGUAAUCAAAUUUAGCAAAUGAGCGGGGAACCAGUUGGGCAAAGUAUGAAAAUCAACUGACAUCUGUUGGUCGGUAACCCAUUAAUGCAACCGUGUGUUGAUGAUGGCACAUUUUGUGUGUGCUUUCCUCUGGUGCGCAGUGGACCGUGGGCCCCCACUGGCUCCAUUGGAAAACUGCACAUAGAAGCAUGGUAGGAUGUCACCAGAACACAGGGUUCCUGCACCUAAAGGAUAAUUAAAUUCUACGACUUUUUCAGGCUGCGGGAACCCCCGAGUACAGAGGUCAUUUGCACUUGCAUUUAUGUACCCUGCUUAACACAACUUGGAGAGGAAAGUGGCAGAGAAGCUGAAUAUGUGUAUAAUUAUGGAGGUAUUUACGAUAGGCAUGAACAUAUUCCAUCUUUGCUGGUUUUUUUGCAUGUACAAACAUUUCUCCUCCAUUUCUCUUUAGUAUAAAAAGGAUUAUUUUCAUUGCUUCAGUUUUGUAUUUUUUGCUACCUUGCUGUAUAAAAAUUUAUGUUAAAGCUCAUUUUAUGCUUUGAGGUUACUGCAAAAACAUUCAACCCAUAAUAAGCCCAAUCCAUAUACAUGAAUCACCCAGGACAGAAAACAUUGUUAUUACCUCGGGAGCUAAAUUUAAUCUUAGCCAAUAAACGAUUUUCCAAAGAAAGAACAA
This 6101-nucleotide unclassified non-coding RNA is filed under the name Acanthaster planci (crown-of-thorns starfish). RNAcentral's name for it is "apoptosis regulator BAX-like, transcript variant X3". The record is from RNAcentral. Lineage: Eukaryota; Metazoa; Echinodermata; Asteroidea; Valvatida; Acanthasteridae.